UGAACGCUGGCGGCGUGCCUAAUACAUGCAAGUCGAGCGAACGGACGAGAAGCUUGCUUCUCUGAUGUUAGCGGCGGACGGGUGAGUAACACGUGGAUAACCUACCUAUAAGACUGGGAUAACUUCGGGAAACCGGAGCUAAUACCGGAUGAUAUUUUGAACCGCAUGGUUCAAAAGUGAAAGACGGUCUUGCUGUCACUUAUAGAUGGAUCCGCGCUGCAUUAGCUAGUUGGUAAGGUAACGGCUUACCAAGGCAACGAUGCAUAGCCGACCUGAGAGGGUGAUCGGCCACACUGGAACUGAGACACGGUCCAGACUCCUACGGGAGGCAGCAGUAGGGAAUCUUCCGCAAUGGGCGAAAGCCUGACGGAGCAACGCCGCGUGAGUGAUGAGGGUCUUCGGAUCGUAAAACUCUGUUAUUAGGGAAGAACAUAUGUGUAAGUAACUGUGCACAUCUUGACGGUACCUAAUCAGAAAGCCACGGCUAACUACGUG
RNAcentral lists this ribosomal RNA (495 nucleotides) under uncultured bacterium. RNAcentral describes it as "partial 16S ribosomal RNA". It matches the Rfam family "Bacterial small subunit ribosomal RNA", at positions 30 to 507 of the family's 1533-position model. The record is from RNAcentral.